Molecule: unclassified non-coding RNA, 279 nt
Filed under: plant metagenome
Description: partial contains small subunit ribosomal RNA, internal transcribed spacer 1, and 5.8S ribosomal RNA
Source: RNAcentral
UCUCCGUUGGUGAACCAGCGGAGGGAUCAUUACAGAGUUGCAAAACUCCCAAACCAUUUUGAACGUUACCUAUCCCGUUGCUUCGGCGGGCGGCCCGGCCCCCGCACCCGGCGCCCCCCCGCCCCCCGUCGGAGCCCGCCGUAGGUAAACAAAACCCUUGAAUUACCUGACAUCACUGAGUCUUUUGUACUGAAUAAGUCAAAACUUUCAACAAGGGAACGCUUGGUGCUGGCACCGAUAGAGAACGCACGAAAUCCGAAGAACACACCUCUGAACGCC